GAUGAAGAACGCAGCGAAAUGCGAUAAGUAACGCGAAUUGCAGAAUUUCCGUGAGUCAUCGAAUCUUUGAACGCACAUUGCGCCCCCUGGCAUUCCGGGGGGCAUGCCUGUUCGAGCGUCUCCGAAAAGAAGACUCACGCGUGGAGAACGCGUUGGUGGUGGCGGAGGCGGCGGCCCCGACAGGGGGGCCGCCCCGCCGGAAUCGAUGGGCGGACGCCUGUCGCGAUGCCGAGCGUGAUAUGACCAUCUGCGCUCGAGCGCGGCGAGGCUCCCAGCCCCGGGCCCAUGAGUUUGGGCGGGGAGAGCAAGACGUUGGAACUCCUCGAAUCAGGUAGGGAUACCCGCUGAACUUAAGCAUAUCAAUAAGCGGAGGA
Molecule: unclassified non-coding RNA, 374 nt
Filed under: soil metagenome
Description: partial contains 5.8S ribosomal RNA, internal transcribed spacer 2, and large subunit ribosomal RNA
Rfam family: 5.8S ribosomal RNA (bases 1-121)
Source: RNAcentral